GCUGCGAUAGCACGCUAUAAUGUAGUCCAACGCUCAGCAAAAGGUGCUUGCACCUUUCAAGUGAGUGGCGAACGGGUGAGUAACACGUGGACAACCUGCCUCAAGGCUGGGGAUAACAUUUGGAAACAGAUGCUAAUACCGAAUAAAACUUAGUGUCGCAUGACACAAAGUUAAAAGGCGCUUCGGCGUCACCUAGAGAUGGAUCCGCGGUGCAUUAGUUAGUUGGUGGGGUAAAGGCCUACCAAGACAAUGAUGCAUAGCCGAGUUGAGAGACUGAUCGGCCACAUUGGGACUGAGACACCGCCCAUACUCCUACGGGAGGCUGCAGUAGCGAAUCUUCCACAAUGGGCGAAAGCCUGAUGGAGCAACGCCGCGUGUGUGAUGAAGGCUUUCGGGUCGUAAAGCACUGUUGUAUGGGAAGAACAGCUAGAAUAGGAAAUGAUUUUAGUUUGACGGUACCAUACCAGAAAGGGACGGCUAAAUACGUGCCAGCAGCCGCGGUAAUACGUAUGUCGCGAGCGUUAUCCGGAUUUAUUGGGCGUAAAGCGAGCGCAGACGGUUUAUUAAGUCUGAUGUGAAAGCCCGGAGCUCAGCUCCGGAAUGGCAUUGGAAACUGGUUAACUUGAGUGCAGUAGAGGUAAGUGGAACUCGAUGUGUAGCGGUGGAAUGCGUACAUAUAUGGAAGAACACCAGUGGCGAAGGCGGCUUACUGGACUGCGACUGACGUUGAGGCUCGAAAGUGUGGGUAGCAACCAGGAUUAGAACCGGGGGAUAUUA
Molecule: ribosomal RNA, 777 nt
Filed under: Leuconostoc mesenteroides
Lineage: Bacteria; Bacillati; Bacillota; Bacilli; Lactobacillales; Lactobacillaceae
Description: bacterial SSU rRNA
Rfam family: Bacterial small subunit ribosomal RNA
Source: RNAcentral